UUCAUGUUCCCCCUAUUGAACACGGAUGGCACGCAGCGAUCCUCACACGCGAAAUGCAGAACAAGCAGAGUGGGAGCUUUGCUGCGAAAUAGGCGUGAACCCGGAGCGCCUUGCGCCAAGUUCUGCACCAACCUUUUGAAGUGCUAACUGUUUUUUCGUGUCUUUUUUUUUUUUUUCCACUGGAAUUGAAAACACUCUUGGGUUCUGGUUCCUGCCAUCGCUCGAUCGCUCGUCUCUUAAGCAAUAAAAUUCUUUCUGUGUUAAACGGGUCUCUUAAGGCAACUGGAAAGAAGGAAGAUGCUGCACUGCCGUGCUUCUCUCCAGAAUACCCGUUUGCUGCCUCCAGUAUUCAGUUCAUGUCAUCUCUCCCUGAAAUUCACCAGAAAUGCUUUCCUGAAUGUGAAGGAAGAAGCUCAGGAAAGGAUCAAAACACCCAGAUUUACGCCACCGGUGCAAGGCAACCUCCCCCUGUCCACAAAGGGCUCCAUUCCCACCUUGGCCACGCACACAGCAGGCGGCUGGAGGCAAGAGAAACACCAGGGC
This is a non-coding RNA of Anas platyrhynchos (mallard), 543 nucleotides long. Lineage: Eukaryota; Metazoa; Chordata; Aves; Anseriformes; Anatidae. The record is from RefSeq and is a predicted model, not a curated record.